This 108-nucleotide ribosomal RNA is filed under the name Microtus ochrogaster (prairie vole). Lineage: Eukaryota; Metazoa; Chordata; Mammalia; Rodentia; Cricetidae. The record is from RNAcentral.
GUCUAUGUGGUACCAUCCUGAAAGUGUCCAAUCUUGUCUGAUCUUGGAUGUUAAGCAGGGUCAGGCCUGGUUAGUAUUUGAAUGGGAGAAAUGCAGAAACAAUGGUCU